ACUCUUUGUGAUAGAAAUUUUCGUAAAUUCUGCCAUAAGUUUAGUAUUUCAGUUAUAACUUUCUUCUCAGAACUUCUAUUGUUGGAUUCCAUCGUCACGCAUUCUGAUUAUUUUCCACCUACAGAUCGAUCACUCGGUGGUGGAGAGCUUCGCAGAGAAAGGCAAAACGGUCAUAACAUCAAGGGUGUAUCCAAAGCUAGCAGUAAUGGACAAAGCACAUCUGUUCGUGUUCAACAAUGGCACGGAAGAGAUCACUGUGGAUAUGCUGUCGGCUUGGGACAUGAAGAAGCCAAUCAUGAAUGUUCCUGUAGCCGAGGGAGUUGCUAAGAAGCCUGCCAAGUCUGAACUGUAAUUUGUUCUUUUACUUGUAAUUUUCUAGAGUAUCUUUACGAUGUAUUAUUGGAUACUCAAUUGAAAUGUUUACAAGCUUCUGAUUUUGGGCUUCUUCUCCCGAUAAUUUGAAAGCUAGCACUUGCCUAUCUAAACCGCUCUCGUAAAAGAAAUCCAAUUUGAUUUCUGUCUGUGUUUUGGAAACUGGUGUUGGCUUAUCAUCUAUACACAAAUUUUAAGAGCAAACUUAUUAGUCAUGCAAAAGUUUAUUGGUGUCGUUGGACUUGAUACGCUUACGAGUUAGUUUGAGUUUAAUAGCCAACUCGAAUUAGUAUUAAUUCGAGUAUAUGAUUCUUUAGUGUACUCAAUAUAACAACAUAUACAAUAUAUGAAUCAUAUGUUGUAUUAUUGAGUAUACGAUAGAUCAUAUGUUGUAUCAUAUGUCAAUAAUUGAACAUAUACAAUAAAUCUUAUGUUAUCUUACAUUGUCUUUCACAUUUGUUACAUAACUUACUUGGGGUUUCUUAAUCUCGUUUGAUUUAUGAAUGAAAAAUAGGCGAUGAUGUGUCUGGACUUAUGAAAAGAAAAAACAUAUAUAAUUUGUGAUUGUAUUAAUGAAAAUUCAAGUGGUAAAUUAUUUAAUUAAGUUAGUAUAAUUUAGGAUAGUUUGUUUUUUUACCUUCAUACAUCAAUGUCUUUUAGUGUACAAACUUCAAAUUCAACUUAAAGUGGACUUAUGAGGAGGUUUAAUCUCAGUGAGCAAAAUUCGAAUUUGACUCGUCAACUCGAGAAUUUAAAUUUAUGGAUGAGAGGUUGGCUAAUUUCACUCAAGGAGCACCAGGUCAGGCCACCAACGGCGAUGAUCGCACAACCGACGACGACAGUGUUUGUAAUAUAUAAAAACAAUGCAACGAGUGAGUGUCCCAGUGGUAGGACAAGGAGAUUAUUGACCACGAAAACACAGAUUCGAUCAACCGCUUCGUUGAAAAUUUUCUCAGAGACAUUCGCACCCGGCUUCGACUUAAUAAACAGAAUAGUGCGCUUCAGGGUUUUGCAAUCUUAUGAAUCGUUAUUGAUUUGUUUCUAUUUCAGUUGAAACCAAGUUCAUAUCCGACCGGAUCGAAAUCAAAACUUUCAAUCAACUCAACGGAGCACAUUCAAAUGUGGCAUAGGAAUGGAGAGCAUUGCCCAGAGGGAACAGUAGCAAUCUUGAGACCAACGAGGACAGAUAUUCCUCUGAAGAACAACUCAAUAGACUUGGGCAAAGAUACCUUUCCCGAGGUACAUUGAUUUCAUCAAAACCGCACCAAAAACCAGUCAAAUCGGUUUUAAAACCACUUUGAGCUGCUCUAUUUCGGUCGAAUUUGUGGUUUUUCGAAUUUCAUUAUCAAGUCUAUUUCCGACCCGUAUGUGAAUCUGGUUUGAUUAUAGUUGGCGACGGCGUUUUUGUCGAGGUCGAGUUACUAUGGACUCAAUGUUGACAUGACCGUACGGAACCCACGAACACAACCAAAUGAAUUGAGCUCGUCUCAAGUUUGGCUAACCGAUGGUGGAGGGUCGAAAGCCAAGCCGAUUCAAGCUACCAUGUUGAUAGCUGAAUUAGUUUUGACCAAAAGCCAACCAACCAAUCCAAUGCUUAAUACUUUUGAUUUCUUCCAUCUCUAAGAAUAACAACGAAAUCGUAGGCAGGGUAAUUUUCCUGGUCCUUUUAAUAGUAUAGAAAACUCUACAGCUUGUAACUUUCUGUAAUAUAAAUUGACAGAGAGGGAAAGAACAGCAAGAACACUUUAAACUAUUGAAUGAUGGGAGUGAAAACAACAAUCCCUUCAAUGCUGAAGGCCAUCGCCUUUUGUUUCGUUGCAGUAACCAUAAUCGGAGUCGAAGGUUCUCAUAAAAUAUACAGGGAGUUGCAGUCUGUCCCUGCUAAAAAGGUCGAGCAAGUUCACCGAACUGGGUAUCAUUUUCAGCCUCCUAAGCACUGGAUCAACGGUUCGUACGUUGUUGUUACUAUUUGUACAGUUUGUCGAUAUUUUAUGGAUUCAAUCUUCGGCGAAGAACAUAAAUAUUCUCACUAAUUUAAGUUGCUUUUCCCCCUCAUGUCAUGAUCUGGAUCUCCAAAUCUCAAUCGGAUAACAGAUCCAAAUGGUAAGCCCUAAUUCUUUCCCCUUUCCGUGUUGUUCAAGAAACCUUGCGUCACCCUUCCUUGCAAAACAAGUAAAAAUUUGUAUUCAUGAAAUCAAACAGGCCCAAUGUUCUUCAAUGGCUUCUACCAUUUGUUUUACCAAUACAACCCUAAAGGAGCAGUGUGGGGAAACAUAGUUUGGGCCCAUUCGGUUUCGAAGGACCUCAUAAACUGGGAGGCCCUCGAGCCCGCAAUCGAAGCCACAAAGCCAUUUGAUGCCAAAGGCUGUUGGUCCGGAUCCGCCACAAUCUUACCGGGAAACAAGCCCGUUCUCUUCUACACGGGAAUCGACAAGAAAAAACGCCAGCUCCAAAACUACGCCAUUCCCAAGAACGAAUCAGAUCCGUACCUCCGCGAGUGGGUCAAGCCGGAUAAGGGAAACCCGUUCGUUGAACCGGACCCUUCCGUCAACGCCAGCGCCUUCCGUGACCCGACCACUGCCUGGUUCAACAAAGGCAUGUGGAACACGAUCAUCGGCAGCAAGCAUGACUUGCUUGGGAUCGCGUACUUGUACAAGAGUAAAGAUUUUAAGAAAUGGACAAAGGCAGAGAAACCUCUCCACCAGAAAGAGGGGACGGGUAUGUGGGAGUGUCCGGAUUUCUACCCGGUGUCCACCACAGGAGAGAAAGGGCUGGACACUUCGGUUGUUGGGAAGGACGUGAAGCACGUUUUUAAAGUGAGUUUGGACUUGACGAGGUUUGAGUAUUACACUAUAGGAACUUACGACGUGAAGAACGAUAAGUAUAUUCCGGACGAAGGCUCGAUCGACAGCUGGGCCGGAAUCAGAUAUGACUAUGGAAACUUCUAUGCUUCAAAGUCGUUCUUCGAUUCAAAGAAGCAACGUAGGGUUUUGUGGGGUUGGGCUAAUGAGUCCGAUGACCCUCUUCGUGACCAGGACAAGGGAUGGGCCGGUAUUCAGGUAUAUAUAAUUUCCACUAUAUUAUUCAUACAAGGCAACACUACGGCACCCCACCAAAAGUGACGAUUAUGUUUAUCCACAUACAUUCGACAAUCGUUUGUGUUCAACGAGUGAUUAGUCAUUGUUAUCGAUGACGAUGUGCAGCUAAUCCCGAGGACGGUGAGCCUAGACAAAAGUGGGAAGCAACUUCUGCAGUGGCCGGUUGAAGAGCUUAACGAACUAAGAAGCUCGAAGCCAAUUCGAAUCGAGUCCAAACAAAUCAAGAAAGGUGAAAACAUCAAAGUAAAACAAACACUAACAGCAGCACAGGCUGACGUGGAGGUGACCUUCUCAUUCAAAGACCUAUCCAAAGCAGAGCCCUUCGAUCCCAAAUGGGCCGACCUUCCAGCCCAAGAUGUCUGCAAGAUCAAGGGCUCGACAGUGGAAGGUGGGCUUGGGCCUUUUGGGCUUCUAACUUUGGCAUCCGAGAAGCUGGAGGAGUACACUCCGGUCAUGUUCAGGGUGUUCAAAAAAGAGAAAACUCAUGUUGUUCUCUUCUGCUCUGAUGCCACCAGGUUUCAACUUUUUAUCAACUAUCACGUCUCGUCUCAAUAAUUGAGUCAAGUUCUCUCAAAUAGAAUAUUUCUCAGAAGAAUGUGAAGUUUGCAAUUUUUUACAUUUAAAACAAUUACAUGUGGAUCAUAAAAAACUAUGAUGGCAUACUAUAUACACUUACACCCCAAUAAUUCGAGUUAUAUUGGGUUCGUAAUAAUCAUUAUCAUUGUGAUACUUUGGAAUCAUUUCUUUCAGCUCUACUCUUACCCAAGAAGAUAAGUUGUACAAGCCAUCAUUUGCUGGAUAUGUGGAUGUUGAUUUGUCUGUGAGCAAGAAGAUUUCCCUCAGAAGUUUGGUAAAUUUUCUCUCAAUGCUUAGUUUAGAAGUUGACGGCCUAUCGACAAGAUAGUCAUCCGCCAUUUAUCUUUCUUCGGCCAUUGCAUAAAUCUUUUGAAAUGCAACUGUUACCUUAUAGUGUUGUUGGAUUUCGUCACACACUCUGAUUUGAUUUCCAACUACAGAUCGAUCACUCGGUGGUGGAGAGCUUCGCAGAAGGAGGGAAGACGGUGAUAACGUCUAGGGUGUAUCCAACAGUAGCAGUAAUGGACAAAGCACACCUGUUCGUGUUCAACAAUGGCACAGAAGAGAUUAAGGUUGAUAUGCUGUCGGCUUGGGACAUGAAG
Molecule: long non-coding RNA, 4648 nt
Filed under: Linum usitatissimum (flax)
Lineage: Eukaryota; Viridiplantae; Streptophyta; Magnoliopsida; Malpighiales; Linaceae
Description: long non-coding RNA (LUSI_LNC004161)
Source: RNAcentral